Molecule: long non-coding RNA, 962 nt
Filed under: Capra hircus (goat)
Lineage: Eukaryota; Metazoa; Chordata; Mammalia; Artiodactyla; Bovidae
Description: lncRNA (ENSCHIG00010021307.1)
Source: RNAcentral
GAGGCUACCGCAGCGCCCGGGCUCCGAGGGGGAGGGCGGGCGGGAGCUCGGCGAGGGGAGGGGAGGGGGCUGGGGGAGGGGAGGAGAGAGGGACAGGGCGGGGGGGGCAGGCGGGCCGGCUGGGAGGAGUUCGAGGCUACCACCGUGCUCGUCGUCGCUGCUGCAGCCGCUCUCGGGCUCCGAGAAGUGCAGCCCGCCGUUCGUGGACGAGGCGCCGCCGCCGCCGCCGCCGCCCGCCGGGCUCUUGGCGCUGCCGUUGGCCGAUCGGUUCUUCCCCAGUAACUCGGGCCCUUUCUCCAUCAUGCCGGGCAUGGUAGAAGAGGGGAGGGGGAAAGGGGAGUGGGCGUUGUCCGUGGUGAAAUAAAAACUGGGACGGGAUCUUCGCCCAGUUGGCGCUUUUUCGGCGCGCUGACCUGUGGUCGAGGCUUGGAGCCGAGCUCUGGAGAGGGCGGAGGCCCCGAGCGGAGGUGAGCCCAGAGCUGCAGUCUAGCGGGGUUUCCAGCCUGGCAGGCGAUUUGCUCUGUAAUGCUUUCCUGAAUUGCGUUAGGCACGAGGAAUAGGAACUGCAUUUUUCGUUCACCAGAUUUGAGGAUGUCUGCUGUGUGCCAGGCUGCCUGGCCUUGGGGGGCUACUUAAGAUUUUCUUCAUUUUAAAAAAUUGGGGGGUUUUUUGGCUCAGCAGUAAAUAGAAAUGAGGAUUUCUUGUGAACAUUUAGUACGGAGAUGUAUGCAGAUCGGUGUUUGGGGUCCACAGUAAGGUAUUAUGUCAAACACUUAAAAUUGUCCUGGAAGAUUUCUAUUAUAGAUCAGUGCAGAAUGGAUCAAAACGGAAAGAAGCCUCUCUGGCCAGAAGAAGUCUUCAUUGGAAGAAAUAACAUCCCUAAAGAAGGAACGUGUAAAUCAGGAAUUGAGCCAAGAAAAAGCCUGGGAGAUGAACUUCUUCUCUGUCUCCAUAAUUCUUAA